This 703-nucleotide long non-coding RNA is filed under the name Homo sapiens (human). RNAcentral's name for it is "non-protein coding DNAJB8-AS1:7". The record is from RNAcentral. Lineage: Eukaryota; Metazoa; Chordata; Mammalia; Primates; Hominidae.
CAGGGCGUGAGCCUGGAGGCUGGGAGGCCCAGGAGGAGGCUGGCACAAAGGAGAGGGGACAGGCCAUGCAGUCCAAGGCAUCUCCAGGCUGCUUCUCCACACCUGCCCAGUCUUUCCCGUUUCUGCUGAGAGGGGGAAGUGGUGUCCCAUGUGGAAUGGGCAUGGAUCUGAUCAUUUGUGAGACUCAGCGCCCAUCGGGAUGUCUGGUGGCUGUGGAUUCACACUGCUAUUGGGGAUGACCUCUUGUAUAUCCUUCUGCCUGUUUCCUUCCACAGCUUGUUAUGUGAAUCUCCUAAUUUGAAAUCAUUUGCAACUCAUUCACACUUUGUAAAGCCUCAUGCUGCCCACACACACUUGCCUGCAGCCUGGACAGAGCAGUCAGUGUUCACCAAGUGAGAUGCUAACCAGCUAGUUGUUCCAACACCACUGGAUUGGGUAACCCUCCACCUUUGCAUUGAUUCAGGACACCUCCUUUAUCACCCAUUAUCUUGUAAAUAAUAGGGUCUGUUGCGGGUUUACUGAGUCUGUACCAUUGAUCUGUUUAUUCUUACAGCAGAACCACAGGGUUUGAACGACUGUGAUAAUAGAAUCUUGUUUAAUAUCAGAAAGCAUUUAUCUCUCUCUCUCUCUCUCUCACACACACACACACACACACACACACACACACACACCUCGCUUUAUUUUUCCUAAUUUUUGACUUCUU